RNAcentral lists this ribosomal RNA (833 nucleotides) under marine bacterium CS-2. Its description in RNAcentral is "bacterial SSU rRNA". It matches the Rfam family "Bacterial small subunit ribosomal RNA", at positions 38 to 863 of the family's 1533-position model. The record is from RNAcentral.
CCCCGCAGGCCUUCCCAUGCAGUCGACGGUAACAGGAAGCAAGCUUGCUUCUUCGCUGACGAGUGGCGGACGGGUGAGUAAUGUCUGGGAAACUGCCUGAUGGAGGGGGAUAACUACUGGAAACGGUAGCUAAUACCGCAUAACGUCGCAAGACCAAAGAGGGGGACCUUCGGGCCUCUUGCCAUCGGAUGUGCCCAGAUGGGAUUAGCUAGUAGGUGGGGUAACGGCUCACCUAGGCGACGAUCCCUAGCUGGUCUGAGAGGAUGACCAGCCACACUGGAACUGAGACACGGUCCAGACUCCUACGGGAGGCAGCAGUGGGGAAUAUUGCACAAUGGGCGCAAGCCUGAUGCAGCCAUGCCGCGUGUAUGAAGAAGGCCUUCGGGUUGUAAAGUACUUUCAGCGGGGAGGAAGGGAGUAAAGUUAAUACCUUUGCUCAUUGACGUUACCCGCAGAAGAAGCACCGGCUAACUCCGUGCCAGCAGCCGCGGUAAUACGGAGGGUGCAAGCGUUAAUCGGAAUUACUGGGCGUAAAGCGCACGCAGGCGGUUUGUUAAGUCAGAUGUGAAAUCCCCGGGCUCAACCUGGGAACUGCAUCUGAUACUGGCAAGCUUGAGUCUCGUAGAGGGGGGUAGAAUUCCAGGUGUAGCGGUGAAAUGCGUAGAGAUCUGGAGGAAUACCGGUGGCGAAGGCGGCCCCUGGACGAAGACUGACGCUCAGGUGCGAAAGCGUGGGAGCAAACAGGAUUAGAUACCCUGGUAGUCCACGCCGUAGACCGAUGUCACUUGGAGGUUGUGCCCUUUGAGGCGUGGCUACCGGACCGAACGCGUUAC